Molecule: ribosomal RNA, 419 nt
Filed under: uncultured bacterium
Lineage: Bacteria
Description: bacterial SSU rRNA
Rfam family: Bacterial small subunit ribosomal RNA
Source: RNAcentral
GGAAUAUUGGUCAAUGGAGGGAACUCUGAACCAGCCAUGCCGCGUGAGGGAAGACGGCCCUAUGGGUUGUAAACCUCUUUUAGCCGGGAGCAAUAAGGGUCCUGCGGGGUCCGAUGAGAGUACCGGCGGAAUAAGCAUCGGCUAACUCCGUGCCAGCAGCCGCGGUAAUACGGAGGAUGCAAGCGUUAUCCGGAUUUAUUGGGUUUAAAGGGUGCGCAGGCGGACCGUUAAGUCAGCGGUGAAAUACCGGGGCUCAACCCCGGGGCUGCCGUUGAUACUGGCGGACUAGAGUACGAGCGGCGCCGGCGGAAUGUGUCAUGUAGCGGUGAAAUGCAUAGAGAUGACACAGAACACCGAUCGCGAAGGCAGCUGGCGAGGACGGUACUGACGCUGAGGCACGAAAGCGUGGGGAUCAAACA